CGGGGGGGUUUUCCGGGAUUUUUUGGGGCGUAAAGCGCGCGCAGGUGGUUUCUUAAGUCUGAUGUGAAAGCCCACGGCUCAACCGUGGAGGGUCAUUGGAAACUGGGAGACUUGAGUGCAGAAGAGGAAAGUGGAAUUCCAGGUGGAGUGGUGAAAUGCGUAGAUAUCUGGAAGAACACCAAAGGCGAAGGCAACAUCCUGGGGAGUCACUGACGCUCGGGUGCGAAAGCUAGGGGAGCGAACGGGAUUAGAUACCCCGGUAGUCCUAGCCGUAAACGAUGACCACUAGGCGUUGGGGGUAUCGACCCCUCCAGUGUCGCAGUUAACACAAUAAGUGGUCCGCCUGGGGAGUACGGUCGCAAGAUUAAAACUCAAAGGAAUUGACGGGGACCCGCACAAGCAGCGGAGCGUGUGGUUUAAUUCGAUGCAACGCGAAGAACCUUACCAGGACUUGACAUGCAAAUGCACCAGCGGUAACGCGCUGUCUCCUUCGGGAGCGUUUGCACAGGUGCUGCAUGGCUGUCGUCAGCUCGUGUCGUGAGAUGUUGGGUUAAGUCCCGCAACGAGCGCAACCCCUAUCGUUAGUUGUAUUUUUCUAGCGAGACUGCCGGUCAAACGGAGGAAGGAGGGGAUGACGUCAAGUCAGCACGGCCCUUACGUUCUGGGCUACACACACGCUACAAUGGUCAGGACAAUGGGAUGCGAACCCGCGAGGGGGAGCAAAUCUAAGCAAACCUGAUCUCAGUUCGGAUUGGAGGCUGCAACCCGCCUCCAUGAAGUUGGAGUUGCUAGUAACCGCAAGUCAGCACAUUGCGGUGAAUACGUUCCCGGGUCUUGUACACACCGCCCGUCACACCACGAAAGUCGGCAACACCUGAAGCCGCCAGGCUAACCCGUAAGGGAGGCAAGCGUCGAGGGUGGGGUCGGUGAUUGGGGUGAAGUCGUAACAGGUAACC
This 956-nucleotide ribosomal RNA is filed under the name uncultured bacterium. Its description in RNAcentral is "bacterial SSU rRNA". It matches the Rfam family "Bacterial small subunit ribosomal RNA", at positions 533 to 1501 of the family's 1533-position model. The record is from RNAcentral.